ACAGUGGUGAUUUAGUGGUAGGAUUCUUGCCUUGUGUGCAGGAGACCUGGGUUCAAUUCUUGGCCAAUGCU
This 71-nucleotide transfer RNA is filed under the name Loxodonta africana (African savanna elephant). It matches the Rfam family "tRNA". From Rfam's summary of the family: Transfer RNA (tRNA) molecules are approximately 80 nucleotides in length. Their secondary structure includes four short double-helical elements and three loops (D, anti-codon, and T loops). Further hydrogen bonds mediate the characteristic L-shaped molecular structure. tRNAs have two regions of fundamental functional importance: the anti-codon, which is responsible for specific mRNA codon recognition, and the 3' end, to which the tRNAs corresponding amino acid is attached (by aminoacyl-tRNA synthetases). tRNAs cope with the degeneracy of the genetic code in two manners: having more than one tRNA (with a specific anti-codon) for a particular amino acid; and 'wobble' base-pairing, i.e. permitting non-standard base-pairing at the 3rd anti-codon position. The record is from Rfam by way of RNAcentral. Lineage: Eukaryota; Metazoa; Chordata; Mammalia; Proboscidea; Elephantidae.